This 468-nucleotide ribosomal RNA is filed under the name uncultured bacterium. RNAcentral describes it as "partial 16S ribosomal RNA". It matches the Rfam family "Bacterial small subunit ribosomal RNA", at positions 28 to 507 of the family's 1533-position model. The record is from RNAcentral.
GACGAACGCUGGCGGCGUGCUUAACACAUGCAAGUCGAACGGAAGGGCCCUGCUUUUGUGGGGUGCUCGAGUGGCGAACGGGUGAGUAACACGUGAGUAACCUGCCCUUGACUUUGGGAUAACUUCAGGAAACUGGGGCUAAUACCGGAUAGGAGCUCCUGCUGCAUGGUGGGGGUUGGAAAGUUUCGGCGGUUGGGGAUGGACUCGCGGCUUAUCAGCUUGUUGGUGGGGUAGUGGCUUACCAAGGCUUUGACGGGUAGCCGGCCUGAGAGGGUGACCGGCCACAUUGGGACUGAGAUACGGCCCAGACUCCUACGGGAGGCAGAAGUGGGGAAUAUUGCACAAUGGGCGGAAGCCUGAUGCAGCAACGCCGCGUGCGGGAUGACGGCCUUCGGGUUGUAAACCGCUUUCGCCUGUGACGAAGCGUGAGUGACGGUAAUGGGUAAAGAAGCACCGGCUAACUACGUG